Molecule: small nucleolar RNA, 119 nt
Filed under: Erinaceus europaeus (western European hedgehog)
Lineage: Eukaryota; Metazoa; Chordata; Mammalia; Eulipotyphla; Erinaceidae
Source: RNAcentral
CAUCAAAGAUGACACCUUCCUUAGAAUGUAAUGACAUGUCUACCAUCUUACCUAGUAUUUUUUAAUGUAAAUAAUAAUCUUGAAAUUUGAAUUCAUUAAAAGAGAAUGGCAACCUGAUA